UACGUAGGGUGCGAGCGUUAAUCGGAAUUACUGGGCGUAAAGCGUGCGCAGGCGGUUUUGUAAGACAGGCGUGAAAUCCCCGAGCUUAACUUGGGAAUGGCGCUUGUGACUGCAAGGCUAGAGUAUGUCAGAGGGGGGUAGAAUUCCACGUGUAGCAGUGAAAUGCGUAGAGAUGUGGAGGAAUACCGAUGGCGAAGGCAGCCCCCUGGGACGUCACUGGCGCUCAUGCACGAAAGCGUGGGGAGCAAACAGG
Molecule: ribosomal RNA, 253 nt
Filed under: uncultured bacterium
Lineage: Bacteria
Description: partial 16S ribosomal RNA
Rfam family: Bacterial small subunit ribosomal RNA
Source: RNAcentral